This is a long non-coding RNA of Corapipo altera (White-ruffed manakin), 699 nucleotides long. RefSeq lists it as uncharacterized. The transcript has 3 exons. NCBI's taxonomy places the organism in Eukaryota, Metazoa, Chordata, Aves, Passeriformes, Pipridae. The record is from RefSeq and is a predicted model, not a curated record.
GCUGCCCGUGUCGCAGCCACGCGGUGGGCUCCCAGGCCCCCUGCCAGUCCCAGCAGCCACCGUUAACCGGUAUUAUAUGCACUUUUGUCUAAACCCAAGAGCUGGAAGUUUCCUUUCCACCAGAGAUCCCCCUUUCAGGCUUGUGCACAGACCCGAUGGAGGUGACACUGUGUGGGGACAUUGCAGGCAGGCCAGCAGGGAACGAGGAUGUGGAGGGCAGUAAGUGACUAACAGCAAGAGCAGCAGGUGACAAACAGCAAGAGCAGCAAGCAGCAUCUUUCACCUAGACUGUUCCCGGUGGCACAGGACAAGCAAAUGGUUAAUAAACACAGAGAACAGGCUGAAGAAAGCAAGUUUCACUGUGUUUCAUUGCGAAGUCACACUGUUUCCCAGGAAUAAGAUGCUCAGCACGCGAUCAGUAACUGCUUUAUGUCGGAGGCCUUUGUUGGAUUUCAGGCUCAGUGUGACUCAGAACGCGGUACUCCUGCUAACUAAGAAGACGGUGAGCAGUGCCCAUGAUGAAGAGCCCAGUUUGUUGCCACACUCAGCUCCUGCAGAGAAACGUGGAAAGGGUGUGGUCUGGAAUGAUCUGCUGAUAAGCGGGAAGGAGCAGAAGGAUCAGGUGGGAACACCAAAAACCUUGCCCCUUUCCUGAUUCUGCUAAUGAGCAGCUCCAAGGGACUUCCCUGUUCCUUGUCC